This 443-nucleotide ribosomal RNA is filed under the name uncultured bacterium. Its description in RNAcentral is "partial 16S ribosomal RNA". It matches the Rfam family "Bacterial small subunit ribosomal RNA", at positions 338 to 795 of the family's 1533-position model. The record is from RNAcentral.
CCUACGGGUGGCAGCAGUGGGGAAUAUUGGGCAAUGGGCGCAAGCCUGACCCAGCAACGCCGCGUGAAGGAAGACGGCCUUCGGGUUGUAAACUUCUUUUGUUAGGGACGAAGCAUGUGACGGUACCUGACGAAUAAGCCACGGCUAACUACGUGCCAGCAGCCGCGGUAAUACGUAGGCGGCAAGCGUUAUCCGGAUUUAUUGGGUGUAAAGGUCGUGUAGGCGGGACUGCAAGUCAGAUGUGAAAUCAACGGGCUCAACCGGUGGCGUGCAUUUGAAACUGUAUUUCUUGAGUACUGGAGAGGCAGACGGAAUUCGUAGUGUAGCGGUGAAAUGCGUAGAUAUUAGGAAGAACACCGGUGGCGAAGGCAGUCUGCUGGACAGCAACUGACGCUGAGGCGCGAAAGCGUGGGGAGCAAACAGGAUUAGAUACCCCGGUAGUC